Molecule: long non-coding RNA, 847 nt
Organism: Eupeodes corollae
Lineage: Eukaryota; Metazoa; Arthropoda; Insecta; Diptera; Syrphidae
Exons: 3
Source: RefSeq, a predicted model, not a curated record
CAAACCACUCCAAAGGGCUCAAAGCAAAUCAUUGCCCUAUAUUCCAUUUAAAAUUAUUGCAUUCAUAUGCUUUGGAACAUAAUAAAAAUAGUGACAACUUUUCCUUCUUAUAAGCACUCGAUGGUCAAGCUGAUACUGCAAGUUCAUACAUGUCAUAAAAAUAAGAGACACAAAAAUAAAAACGGAAGCAAAAGGAAUACAAAAAAAAUAAUCUCGAACUUGUUACUUGAAAUAAGAAAAAAUUGAGAAAAAAAAGUAUGCUACACUCCUAACCUCAAUGAUUAGCCUCAAUGACCAUCGUUAAGCAGAAAUAUCACCAAGAAAAAUGCAAAAUAAAAGUCCAACUACUGCCUGGGCCUGCCGUUGCGCGCACCGUACGAGUGAGUAUAUAUAUAUGUACAGUGCAAUCCUUUCCAUCCAUCCAAGAACAACAACACCAGUUUAUCCGCCAUAGAAUGCAACUUCAAACCGCAAAGCAAAUGCAGUUUGCAUCUUAUCAAAAUCGAAACGGCAAUAAACUAUCUUUUGUACAAGCGCAAGAAGCAAGGUGGGUACAAGUUGGAGGAGUUUUGUGGCACUGGUUGGUAUACUGUAGCUGGUGCUAGUGCUGGUGCUGUUUCAAGUGCUCUGUAGCUCCCUCGCUGGUGCAACAACAACAACGACGACGCGACGAUCAUUCUGGCCCUGGCAAUAAGUUGCAGUACCAGAGGUAGAUAUUUCCCAUUCUCACGAAAUGCACAUAAAAUCUUUUUAGGGUUCAAAAUAAAAAGAUAUCUUAACUUACCAUGUCGUUUGGAGAAUGAAUUCCAAAAAUGAAAAUCACAUUCAAUCCGAAAAGAAAGCGAGU